This 520-nucleotide small RNA is filed under the name uncultured Glomus. Its description in RNAcentral is "SSU rRNA". It matches the Rfam family "Eukaryotic small subunit ribosomal RNA", at positions 569 to 1091 of the family's 1831-position model. The record is from RNAcentral. Lineage: Eukaryota; Fungi; Glomeromycota; Glomeromycetes; Glomerales; Glomeraceae.
AGCAGCCGCGGUAAUUCCAGCUCCAAUAGCGUAUAUUAAAGUUGUUGCAGUUAAAAGCUCGUAGUUGAAUUUCGGGAUCAAUAUUUCGGUCAUGCCGUUGGUAUGCACUGUUAUCAUUGAUUUCUCACCUUCUAAAGAACCGUAAUGCCAUUAAUUUGGUGUUACGGGGAAUUAGGACUGUUACUUUGAAAAAUUAGAGUGUUUAAAGCAAGCUAACGCUUGAAUACAUUAGCAUGGAAUAAUGAAAUAGGACGUUCGAUCUUAUUUUGUUGGUUUCUAGGAUUGACGUAAUGAUUAAUAGGGAUAGUUGGGGGCAUUAGUAUUCAAUUGUCAGAGGUGAAAUUCUUGGAUUUAUUGAAGACUAACUACUGCGAAAGCAUUUGCCAAGGAUGUUUUCAUUAAUCAAGAACGAAAGUUAGGGGAUCGAAGACGAUCAGAUACCGUCGUAGUCUUAACCAUAAACUAUGCCGACAAGGGAUCGGAUGAUGUUAAUUUUUUAAUGACUCAUUCGGCGCCUUAA